ACAUCCGGCUUUUGCAGAUGGAGCAUGAGUUUUUAACCGUGACUGGAAAAUUCCGAGUUGAAUAUCCUGGUGUUCAAAGUCAACUGCGGCGCAAUAUCUCCCAAGUUUUGAACAAAUUCCAGGCAUUGCUCAACAUGAAUUUGCUUGAUGAAAGUUCAAGUACUGGUAAUGGAACAGAGGAUAGAACAGCAGAAACAAACUUUUGAGUGAAAAUCGAAAAAGAGCCUCCAAGAAUUGUCUUUGAUGAUAUUUUAUGCUAUAAAACGAUAUUUUCUGCAUAUAUAAUACAAAAUAAAAUUUUCCCCAUAUAUAAUAUAAAAUAAUAUUUUCCCCAUAUAUAAUAUGAAAUAAUAUUUUCUUAAUAUAUAAUAUAA
Long non-coding RNA from Octopus sinensis (East Asian common octopus), 374 nucleotides. RefSeq lists it as uncharacterized. The record is from RefSeq and is a predicted model, not a curated record. Lineage: Eukaryota; Metazoa; Mollusca; Cephalopoda; Octopoda; Octopodidae. The transcript is spliced from 3 exons.